UUUAUUUUCCGACUCUCUUGGGUGCUUAAUUAAGAAGAACAGUCCCCAUGCUACUAACGCUGAUGAUUCUGGGUCUUGCUGCCCUCAUUGGUACUUCUGAGAGUCAGACUGGAUGCUUUGGUGACAUAAACAAGGUGGAUUCAUAGAUUCAUGGAUACCACUGGGGCUUCCUGUAGAACUGCAAGAGCAGAAGGCUUACGCUACUGCAGAAUUCAUGCUUCAGCAAAGAUUGCAAAGAGAGACUUACGUACUAUGAAAAAAUAUAAAACCAUCAUUAAGAG
Dermochelys coriacea (leatherback sea turtle) is the source of this 281-nucleotide long non-coding RNA. RefSeq lists it as uncharacterized. The transcript has 3 exons. The record is from RefSeq and is a predicted model, not a curated record. Lineage: Eukaryota; Metazoa; Chordata; Testudines; Dermochelyidae.